RNAcentral lists this ribosomal RNA (816 nucleotides) under uncultured bacterium. RNAcentral's name for it is "bacterial SSU rRNA". It matches the Rfam family "Bacterial small subunit ribosomal RNA", at positions 8 to 815 of the family's 1533-position model. The record is from RNAcentral.
AGAGUUUGAUCCUGGCUCAGAUUGAACGCUGGCGGAAUGCUUUACACAUGCAAGUCGAACGGCAGCAUAGAGAGCUUGCUCUCCGAUGGCGAGUGGCGAACGGGUGAGUAAUAUAUCGGAACGUGCCUAGUAAUGGGGAAUAACUAGCUGAAAGGUUAGCUAAUGCCGCAUACGACCUACGGGUGAAAGCAGGGGAUCUUCGGACCUUGCGUUAUUAGAGCGGCCGAUAUCUGAUUAGCUUGUUGGUGGGGUAAUGGCCUACCAAGGCGACGAUCAGUAGCUGGUCUGAGAGGACGAUCAGCCACACUGGAACUGAGACACGGUCCAGACUCCUACGGGAGGCAGCAGUGGGGAAUUUUGGACAAUGGGGGCAACCCUGAUCCAGCCAUUCCGCGUGAGUGAAGAAGGCCUUCGGGUUGUAAAGCUCUUUCGCAAGAGAAGAAAACUUACUAUCUAAUAAAUAGUAAGUAUGGCGGUAUCUUGACAAGAAGCACCGGCUAACUACGUGCCAGCAGCCGCGGUAAUACGUAGGGUGCAAGCGUUAAUCGGAAUUACUGGGCGUAAAGCGUGCGCAGGCAGUUUUAUAAGUCAGAUGUGAAAUCCCCGAGCUCAACUUGGGAACUGCGUUUGAAACUGUAAGACUAGAGUGUGUCAGAGGGGGGUAGAAUUCCAAGUGUAGCAGUGAAAUGCGUAGAGAUUUGGAGGAAUACCAAUGGCGAAAGCAGCCCCCUGGGAUAACACUGACGCUCAUGCACGAAAGCGUGGGGAGCAAACAGGAUUAGAUACCCUGGUAGUCCACGCCCUAAACGAUGUCUA